This 73-nucleotide transfer RNA is filed under the name Pocillopora damicornis (cauliflower coral). RNAcentral describes it as "tRNA-Lys". It matches the Rfam family "tRNA". Rfam says of the family: Transfer RNA (tRNA) molecules are approximately 80 nucleotides in length. Lineage: Eukaryota; Metazoa; Cnidaria; Anthozoa; Scleractinia; Pocilloporidae. The record is from Rfam by way of RNAcentral.
GCCUGGUUAGCUCAGUCGGUAGAACAUCAGACUUUUAAUCUGAGGGUCAUGGGUUCAAGUCCCAUACCGGGCG